GAUGAACGCUGGCGGCGUGCCUAAUACAUGCAAGUCGAGCGAACAGACGAGGAGCUUGCUCCUCUGACGUUAGCGGCGGACGGGUGAGUAACACGUGUAUAACCUACCUAUAAGACUGGGAUAACUUCGGGAAAGCGGAGAUAAUACCGGAUAAUAUAUUGAACCGCAUGGUUCAUUAGUGAAAGACGGUUUUGCUGUCACUUAUAGAUGGAUCCGCGCCGGAUUAGCUAGUUGGUAAGGUAACGGCUUACCAAGGCGACGAUGCGUAGCCGACCUGAGAGGGUGAUCGGCCACACUGGAACUGAGACACGGUCCAGACGCCUACGGGAGGCAGCAGUAGGGAAUCGUCCGCAAUGGGCGAAAGCCUGACGGAGCGACGCCGCGUGAGUGAUGAAGGUCUUCGGAUCGUAAAACUCUGUUAUUAGGGAAGAACAAAUGUGUAAGUAACUAUGCACGUCUUGACGGUACCUAAUCAGAAAGCCACGGCUAACUACGUG
RNAcentral lists this ribosomal RNA (497 nucleotides) under uncultured bacterium. RNAcentral's name for it is "partial 16S ribosomal RNA". It matches the Rfam family "Bacterial small subunit ribosomal RNA", at positions 28 to 507 of the family's 1533-position model. The record is from RNAcentral.